GACGAACGCUGGCGGCGUGCUUAACACAUGCAAGUCGAACGGAAAGGCCCUGCUUUUGUGGGGUGCUCGAGUGGCGAACGGGUGAGUAACACGUGAGUAACCUGCCCUUGACUUUGGGAUAACUUCUGGAAACUGGGGCUAAUACCGGAUAGGAGCUCCUGCUGCAUGGUGGGGGUUGGAAAGUUUCGGCGGUUGGGGAUGGACUCGCGGCUUAUCAGCUUGUUGGUGGGGUAGUGGCUUACCCAGGCUUUGACGGGUAGCCGGCCUGAGAGGGUGACCGGCCACAUUGGGACUGAGAUACGGCGCAGACUCCUACGGGAGGCAGCAGUGGGGAAUAUUGCACAGUGGGCGGAAGCCUGAUGCAGCAGCGCCGCGUGCGGGAUGACGGCCUACGGGUUGUAAACCGCUUUCGCCUGUGACGAAGCGUGAGUGACGGUAAUGGGUAAAGAAGCACCGGCUAACUACGUG
This 468-nucleotide ribosomal RNA is filed under the name uncultured bacterium. Its description in RNAcentral is "partial 16S ribosomal RNA". It matches the Rfam family "Bacterial small subunit ribosomal RNA", at positions 28 to 507 of the family's 1533-position model. The record is from RNAcentral.